RNAcentral lists this ribosomal RNA (444 nucleotides) under Mecistogaster lucretia. RNAcentral describes it as "partial 16S ribosomal RNA". It matches the Rfam family "Bacterial large subunit ribosomal RNA", at positions 1932 to 2585 of the family's 2925-position model. Lineage: Eukaryota; Metazoa; Arthropoda; Insecta; Odonata; Coenagrionidae. The record is from RNAcentral.
CGCGGUAAAUUGACCGUGCAAAGGUAGCAUAUUCAUUAGUCUUUUAAUAGGAGUCUGGUAUGAAAGGUUUAACGAAACAUAAACUGUCUUUAAUUUUAUUUAUUGAAGUUAGCUUUUAAGUUAAAAGGCUUAAAUUUUAUUGAUGGACGAGAAGACCCUAUAGAUUUUUACAUAAUUGGUUAUUAUAAUUUAAUUGAUUAAUUAUAAAUAUAAUUUUUAGUUUUGUUUAGUUGGGGUGACUAUAAAUAUAUAAUUAACUUUUAUAUUUUACAACCAUUGAUUUAUGAUUAUUAGAUCCAUUAUUAUUGAUUAUUAGAUCAAAUUACCUUAGGGAUAACAGCGUAAUCUUCUUUCAGAGUUCAAAUUUACAAGAAGGCUUGCGACCUCGAUGUUGGAUUAAGAUAAUUAUUAGGUGUAGUAGCUUAAUUAAUAGGUCUGUUCGAC